GUAGUCUGCAACCGACUACAUGAAGCUGGAAUCGCUAGUAAUCGCGGAUCAGAAUGCCGCGGUGAAUACGUUCCCGGGUCUUGUACACACCGCCCGUCACACCAUGGGAGUCGGAAAUGCCCGAAGUCUGUGACCCAACCUUAGGGAGGGAGCAGCCGAAGGCAGGUCGGAUGACUGGGGUGAAGUCGUAACAAGGUAAC
Molecule: ribosomal RNA, 200 nt
Filed under: uncultured bacterium
Lineage: Bacteria
Description: partial 16S ribosomal RNA
Rfam family: Bacterial small subunit ribosomal RNA
Source: RNAcentral